RNAcentral lists this microRNA precursor (73 nucleotides) under Lucilia cuprina (Australian sheep blowfly). Its description in RNAcentral is "mir-10 microRNA precursor family". It matches the Rfam family "mir-10 microRNA precursor family". From Rfam's summary of the family: In this case the mature sequence comes from the 5' arm of the precursor. The extents of the hairpin precursors are not generally known and are estimated based on hairpin prediction. The products are thought to have regulatory roles through complementarity to mRNA. The record is from Rfam by way of RNAcentral. Lineage: Eukaryota; Metazoa; Arthropoda; Insecta; Diptera; Calliphoridae.
CUACAUCCACCCUGUAGAUCCGAAUUUGUUCUAAUAUUUGUCAGACAAAUUCGGUUCUAGAGAGGUUUGUGUG